RNAcentral lists this non-coding RNA (26 nucleotides) under Homo sapiens (human). Lineage: Eukaryota; Metazoa; Chordata; Mammalia; Primates; Hominidae. The record is from RNAcentral.
UGCCUGCAAAUAGUGAAAGCCUGAAA